RNAcentral lists this ribosomal RNA (494 nucleotides) under uncultured bacterium. RNAcentral describes it as "partial 16S ribosomal RNA". It matches the Rfam family "Bacterial small subunit ribosomal RNA", at positions 28 to 507 of the family's 1533-position model. The record is from RNAcentral.
GACGAACGCUGGCGGCGCGCUUAACACAUGCAAGUCGAACGGAGAGGCCUGCUUUCCCUUGUGGAUUGCGGGUACUCGAGUGGCGAACGGGUGAGUAACACGUGAGUGAUCUGCCCCCAACUUGGGUAUAAGCCUGGGAAACUGGGUCUAAUUCCCGAUAGGACUGCAGGGUGGUGCCUGUGGUGGAAAACGAUUUUCUAGUGGUUGGGGAUGAGCUCGCGGCCUAUCAGCUUGUUGGUGGGGUAAUGGCCUACCAAGGCGGCGACGGGUAGCCGGCCUGAGAGGGUGGACGGCCACAUUGGGACUGAGAUACGGCCCAGACUCCUACGGGAGGCAGCAGUGGGGAAUAGUGCACAAUGGGCGGAAGCCUGAUGCAGCGACGCCGCGUGGGGGAUGACGGCCUUCGGGUGGUAAACUCCUUUCGACCGCGAGGAAGCCACCUGGUUGGAAGGGUGGUGACGGUAGUGGUAGAAGAAGCACCGGCUAACUACGUG